Molecule: long non-coding RNA, 10259 nt
Organism: Diospyros lotus (date-plum)
Lineage: Eukaryota; Viridiplantae; Streptophyta; Magnoliopsida; Ericales; Ebenaceae
Exons: 2
Source: RefSeq, a predicted model, not a curated record
AGAAAUAAGGAAAAAAAAAAAGAGGAAAAGAAAAAUAAAUUUUUCUUUAUGGGAAAAAAAUGUGUUUUAUUAUUUUGGAGAUUUUGGAAAGAAGAAAAAAAUUAUCUAGACACGUGAAAGUUGAGUUCUGGGCUUUUUAGGUAUUUAUAGUCCCGACCCUAUAUUUCGAAACAUGGAGCAACGUGGGGUUCGAAAUAAAUUUUUUAGGAAUUAGAUUUCGAAAUAGAAUGCUAAGAUGUUUCGAAAUAAGAUAUUUUGGAAAGCUGUUGUCAGGUCGUGAUGGGACACUUCGGAAUAGUUGUGCCCAUAAUAGGACUUGUGGGAGUAGUCUAAUGAGAAUAAUCUGCCAGAUGCAGUGAGAGUUUGUGAUAACUUAAAGGAUCGGGUUGCGUGUUUCUGCAACAUAAACAAAAGAUACGUGUGGAUUACACCAAGACACAAAGAGAACUAACCGAUGUAUGAUUUGGAGCUGGCAACUGGGGUAUGUGCUCUCGAGGUUAUGGAGACACUACCGGAAUGGUGGGGCAUUUUGAUGUGCUCACGAAUCACGAGGAGCCUGAGGUACAGGUUCUCGCAGAAAGAGCUAAACGAGUGGUAGUGAUGGUGGAUAGAGUUCAUUGAGGACUACGACUGCACUAUUUCGUAUCACUCGGGGCGUGGCCGUGAGGUGCCGACGCAUGACCUGGGUGGAUAGCUAUGAGUGUCAGAUGUUAGAGGCUUGCUGACUAUGAGUGUAGUGCCAAAUGGAUCGUUUGUCUUUAUCGCUGGCCUAACAGUUUAGUUGGAUCUAGUGAUCGAGAUACAAAAAGCAUGUGUGAUUGGUGGGUGUUAUUGUCUAUAAUUGAUGAUUGUGGUCAGCCCAAGGGUUAUGAUUUUUGAGAUGCAAUAUGGCAUUCUUAAAAGUUUCAGAGUAGGAUGUGCGUGCCUAGGAUGUUGGAAGAUGUGUGGUCGUCUGUAAAGAGACACAACAAGAAAUUAUGUAAAUGACACGGCAUGCUUGUAGGCAUCAGACGUGUAAGAAAUGCAAACGGAAGUAUUUGUCAAGGACCAAAUAGACAUUUGAUUUGAAGUAUUCAGGUAAUGAGCUAUGUAUUGUCUUAGUUACCUUAACGGUCAGAUGAAAAUUUAGAGGUCGAAAUUUCUUUAAGGAAGGGUGAAUGUAAUACCCGAGAAAUUCUAAAGGACUCAAAGGUAAAUUAUCUUGGGGGCAAAAAAUGGAAUUUAAGGAUAAAUGAAGGGUAUAACGAAAAUUUAUUACCAUAUAGAUGACCGAAUCAACUGCUGGGAGUGUCUUGGAGCUGAGAUGCCAAAGGAAAAUGAUGUGGCAUUAACAAGUACCCCGAGAUAGGAUUUAUGGUACCGAAAGAAAUUGGAUCAGGAACGACUUUCUGUACAGCUAAAAUGCAGCUGCCAAUUAGGUUGCAAUACUGAAUUGUUAUAGACGAUUUCCGGGAAGUCAACGGAGGCUUGAGGGGGCUUCGGUUUUUCAUAAGGAACAACCCUUCAGUGGUUUCAGGAAAAAACAAAAGGGUUUAAGGCCAAAAUGGAGAUUCGGGCCUAAGUGCAAUUUUUCAAAAUUGCCUGAGGGAGGUCGAAACGAUAAUUUCUUGGAAUCUUUGAGGGUCAAAUGAAAGUUUUAGGACUUGAGGAACUUAAAUGCAAUUGUGCAAAGUUGCUGGGUUAUGUGAAAAUGGGUCAAAAUGGGAAAACCAAAGUUAAGGGGCCAAAGUGCAAUUUCAAGAAAACCUCCAAAGCAUCCAUGGCCGACCAACCUUCCAAUCGCCGAAAUCAGCCAUGGGAGACCCAAGGCAGUGGCUGGGGGGCCUCUGGGCAAGGCCAAGACAAGCUUCAUGGCCAACAAAUGGACAAAAUGGCGUCAAAAUCGGUCCAACUUUCGGCCGAAAGUUUGGCCACUGAAAUGGCAAGAUUGGAGCUUUUUCAGUGGAUUUUGGACUUGUUAAGGGCAAGAGGGGACAUUAGAGGCCUUGAAUGAAGCGAGAUCCAUCGUUUAGGGGUUUGAAAUCGCCUAUAAAUAGAGGUAUUUAGAGAUGCCGAAAUAUAGAAAAAAUUUAAACUCUUAGAUCCGAGAGUUUGUGAAUAAAUUGAGAGAAUCGGAUAAGGGGCUUUCGUUGCCCAUAUCCUAAGCUUCAUUUCUAUGCAAUUUGAGCCAUUUUGGUUGAGAGAUGAGUGAGAUUCGAAGCCUUGUCAGAAAAACGAGUUUCGUCGAAAAAUGAGCUUGAGCAGUCUGAAAAUGGCUCGGUUUGAGGGAUUUUAUGGUAUUAUCUUAUAGAGGGCGAAAAGACGAAGCCAUAGGUUCAAACGGGGGGUCAAUUGGAGGUCGGAUGAAGAAGUUAUGGCCUAUUAAACCAGAGGUAUCGCGUGCUGUCCGGCGAGCUGGAGGAAUAAGACAACCAGCGCUUAGGGGCACAUGCGCUAGCUGGGCCCUGCGAGUCGGCGCGCGUGGAGAAUUUUGUAUGGGCCAGUGCGGGCGUGUCUGGAUUCCAAAAAUUAUGAAAAAAAAGAUAAAUUCCUCUAAAAUCAAGCUCUAGAGGCCAAUGCAAAAAUAUUUGGAUUUGGACUUCUCGAUGUCUCGGUUUUAGCAUCAAAGAGUCUCGUUUUGCACGAAAACGCAAUAUCCGGGUAAGUUCAGUAUUUUUUCCUUGAAGUUCAUAGUCUAUCAUGAAUUGUUGUGGAAUUAGAUUUGAGAAAAUAGUCUUGAUGGUAUUUAUUGGGAUUUUUAGAAGGAAAAAUGGAAAAAAAUGAAGUAAAAUAGGUAGAAAUUGGAAUAUCGAGAUAUUUAGUGAUUAAAUAUCAUUUUUAUGGUUGAGGUGAUCGAGAUGAUGUGAUUGCUGCGACUUUCGAGAGUUGGCACGGAAAUCGAGGUCGGACAUGCAUAUCAAGGCAAUGCGCGCUCUUCGAGUUGUUUUGAUCUCUGGGCAAAUGUGAGUUUUCCUAUCCGAACUAUGGUAUUGUGAGUGAUUUUCUCACAAAAACUUAUAUUCAUGAUAUGUUUGUUAUAUAUGCAUGUUGUUAUGAAUGUAAUAUUCAUUUUGACAUAUUGCAUGGAAAGUCGUGAAAAUUGCAUGACACGAUAUUAUUGUUACAUUGAUAUUUUUGCAUGGGAAUUGGAUGUCGCCCCAGAGUGUAGCCGUAAUUCCCCUAGGGCAAUGAUGGAAUAACGUUAGGCUUAUCUUGCAGAAGUUCGGGAUUUGCCUAAGAUUCCGUGCCGGGCUCGUGAGCCUGAGAGGUUAUAUUAAGGGCAAAUGUUGUUUAUGUUAUUGUAUCAUGCAUCCAUAUAUAUGUUUUAGACCCUCACUAGAAGUUUCAUCUUUUAAUGGGUUAUGCCCUUGGAAUAUUCGACAUUCCAGUUUAGACUUGCAACUUAGGCAAGGAGCAGGUUGAGAUGAGACGGCACGUGAUUGUGUGGCCGAUGGAUUCAGCGAGCUGAUUUGGAUAUGUUUUAGCUUAUGCUUUAUUGAUGAUUAGUCUUGUUAGAAUGUUUAUGGAAUCUCCAUGUAUUUUAUAAUAUGAUGUAAUAUGUGGUACGGAUUCUUUAUGAUAUAAUAUAAGGCGAAUUCAUGUGUACCAUAUCAGGUUUUGAUUUUAAGCUUCUGCAAUUAUGAUGUUUACCUGUCUUAACUUAUUGAUUUUUAUUUAGUGUGUUGAGAAGGUAAAACGAGAUUAUCGGGAAAUGGUUUAUAUUAAAAAAAAAAAAAUUAUUCCUGAAAUUCCUAAGUUAUUUAAUGCUCGGGAAAAGUGGACAUUUCCUAUGUAUUCAACAAAUUCAUUCUGAUACCGACUGUAGUACAGUCGAUAUUAGGGUGAACCUAUGGAAAAGGUCACGUGUGGCUAGAUAAGCAAAGCCAUCGUAAGAUUUGGGUAUUGAUAGUUACUGGAUAAGUGUGGUGUAGUGGAAGUGCAUGUUUAGGAAAAUUCUGGCUAAGGAAAGACUUGGUACUUAAGUGUGUUCGUUUGUGACUCACCUCUCUUUCCUGGGAACUUACCUGGUGUACUAUUCACAAGUAUACACUAUUGCAGUAGAGGACUACUAUUCCCGAUGAAUAGUAGAAUGCCUGAUAGAAGCUAGCGCAAGAUUAGUCUGAUAGCCUAGCUGUCAAGUUAAGGAUCGAAGGAUAAGGAUUUUCGAGGAUCAGUUAGUAUCUCGGAAAUAUGAUGUAAAGAUAAGGGAUCCAUUGGAUUGGAUCGAACAAGAGGCUAAAAAUAGCCAAAUGAUGGCGUGUGAGUGCGUCGAUUAAUGAGCUGAAAGUAGUGCAACUGAUGUGACUCGCAAAGACGGGAUAAAGAAACCCUAGCAGCACGAGGACACAGCUGGUUGGGUGUUCACAGUGACAGAUCUGGAUCGAGGGACCAAGGCAGAAGACUUGUAAUGAGCUUGUGGCUAACGUGCCAGAGAAGCUUAUAGGUUGUCUCGCGGUGUGGGUCUGGGACCCAGGGUCUGAGUUGCUUAGUGAACUGCCAAAGAGACGAUCAGAUGCUGAAGAUUUGAGUAAGGUCUGUACCUUGUAGAGAAUUCCAAGUUCCAAUGGUCUAGGAGGCAAGGUGUGCUGCUAGUUAUUGUUGAUCGAGGCCGAAAGCCUAGGAAUCAACCUAAAGUAAGAUGAAUUAAAUGUGGACCGUGUGUCUUAUUGAAAGAAUUGCAUAGAGAUUCGUGGUCAUCUUUGGGAUUGGUGACAUGACGAGCAGCGAGAGGCUCGAGGGCCUAGAAUGAAUGUUCUUGCAGAAGGAGUUGAACUCAUGGCAAUGACAAGGAAUGAUAGCUCUGGGAAGGCUAUAACGAGACUGUGCAGUUUCCACCCGGAACGUACCCGUGUGAGGGUCAACGUAUGAUGUAGGGGUAAGCCUACUAUGUGAUCAGGGUGAUGAUGACAGCUUGUGUGCUGGCUGGCGAUAAAUGUAGUGCAUAGGAAGAACUAAUUUAAUGGUCGUGUGCCGAUAGUCAACUGGAUCUAAAGAACGAAAUGCGAGAGUUAGUGGAUUCUCAGUAAAUAAGAUUUCAGGUAGUGGAGCAUGACUAGUCUAAAACCUUAAUGAUGAGUUGUGAGAUGGCAACCUCAAUUCAAGGUAGAGAUCGGGUACCAAAAAGGAAAGAAUUAAUUGAUAGGUCGUAUUGACCGAAAAAGAAAUGACGAGGAGUCCUAGUCAACAGAGGUUGUGACUAUAGUUCAAUGUGCCUAGGGAAUCAGGUAGAGUUGUCGGUAGUCAACCCGACAAGGCGAGAGCACCAUGAUGAAUGGUAGAUUGAGAGCCAUGAUUACAAAGAGAUGGAAUCCAUGGGAGAUAAUUGGAACUAGAUAUCGUGAUCUGAUUCGGAUCUUUGGAGAUAAAUCGGUUUGGGAUUUUUAAGAAAUCUUCCUUGAAAGAAUUGAUUGAGGAUCUAGGGAUUCGUGAUGGAACUUUGGAGUUUCAUGAGGAAAUCUAGUAAAGGUUGGAUGAUUGGAUCGAGAGGAUCAAGUGAUGGCAGGUGUGCCAAGAUGACGAGUCGCAGUAAGGGAAGCUGCAGACCCAAAUCGAUUAAAGAUUCGAGAUUUUUAGAAUGAAACUCUCGUAUGAUUAGACGACUGGUUUAGGUAGCCAAGUAGGCAAAUUGAGAGAUAUAUAGCUGGACGACCAUUAAAAUGAUGUCAGCAAGUUAUGAAAAUGAUGAGCCUAUUGUUAUGAGGUAUAGGCACUUGCGGUAAGUGAAAAGCCAUAAGAGAAAUGGAAAAUAACCAGGAUAUAUUCUCAGAAGAUUUAACGGGAUUAUUUUUUUUAUGAUGAAAUUGCCAAUGAUAGCUUGAGGUUAUUGGAUGCUUAGCUAUGUGUGAUUUGAUUUAGGACGUGAAUUAUGGAUGAUAAUUAAAAGCUGAUAUUUUACCUCGAUUUGAUGAAUUAUUAAAACAGUUGCAAGAGGCUGAGAUAUCUUAUGAUCAAUAUACAAUUGAGGGUGAGACAAGGGAAUGAAAUGUUAAAAAUACCAAAGCAUAAUAUUCAUUCUAUAUAUUCAAACAGUUACAGGAAAUCAAGCCGUACAAUUACUCCAAGGGAAAAAAAAAAAAAGGAAACCAUAAAACUGAUAACGUGGUCGAUGCUCAAUGACGACGAGGGUUGCCAAACACGACAGCUCCUAGCUCAUCGAUGUCAUCUAGGGGUGGCAUCUGGCUAGUGCUGGUUUCGCCAGGGUAAGGUGGAAGAGUAGCCUCUGAGAAACUAGGAUGAGGGACAUCCUCUGGGAUGAUAGGAAGAUCGAAAUUCCAGCUUGGGUUUUGAACAGGUUGGGGAUGUGAAAAAUAAUAUGCGAAUAAUGAAUCUUGCAAAUAAGCUCGGUAAGCUUGCAACUCACUAACUUGCUGCUAAAGGGCAAGAAUGUGAGAUACACAGCCAUAGACGGGAUCUUGAAGCCGGGCUUGAGCUUCAAAGAUGGGUGUAUUGGAAGCUCAAAAUCGGUCGCUAACCGGAAGCGGCGCUAGGAAGUUGACAACAUUCUUGACAGUAAAAACAUCACGGAUGGCGACAAAACGAGCAAUACUAUCCUCACAACGGAAGUAAGGAGCAAAGAUGCACUGUGAAUUGCAUCCUCUAUUUAAGACUACGCAAGCACCACAUCGAGACUGGGGCCUUGGUAUGUUGCCCCAUGGCAUGUUACGCCUCAACAUGAUAGAUCUAGGUCUGGCUAAAUCUAAACAAAUCAGAUAUAGGUUAGAUCUAAAGGGUCAAACCUGAAUCGAGUUGAGUCGGUUUAGGUCGGACCUGGUCGGGUUGAAUCGACCCAGAUCUGGCAGCAGUGGCAAGGACAACGAUGGUGCGGUGGCGGCCGAGGGAAGGCGGGCGAUGGCCAGUGGUUGCGCAAGAGAGCUAGCAGCGGCGGCGACGCACAGAAUUUGGCCGACGCGAGGGCCGAUUGGGCCGGCGAUGAUGGAUGGGAGGAGCUGCGAUCGGCGACUGGGGCGCGGAGAAGCCGCACGGUGGCUCGCUGCCGAUGGCGAAGCAGGCGCUAGAGGCGGUUGCGGAGGGGGCAACGGCGGCUGUCGGAGGUGGUGGUGACGCUGUAGGCGACGGCGGCAGGUGGCUGUUCGUGCGUAAGGUCGGCAGAGGGAAGAAGAAGAAGAAGGAAGAGGAGAAGAAAGAAGAAGAAGAAAAGAAAAGAAAAAGGAAAAAAAAAGGGAGAAGAAAAAUAUCUCUAUGGGAAAAAAAUGUGUUUUAUUAUUCCGGAGAUUUUAGCAAGAAGGAAAAAAUUAUCCAGACACUCGAAAGUUGAGUUCGGGGCUCUUCGGGUAUUUAUAGUCCCGACCCUAUGUUUCGAAACAUGAAACAACGUAGAGUUCGAAAUGAAAUUUUUGCAAACCAGAUUUCAAAAUAAAAUGCUAAGAUGUUUCAAAAUAGAUGUUUUGAAAAAGCUAUUGUCAGAAGGCAGUGAUGGAACACUCCGGAAUAAUUAUGUCCACAAUAGAACUCGUUGGAAGAGUCUAAUAAGAAUAACUUGCUGGGUGCAGUAAGAGUUUAUGAUAGCUCAAGGGAUCGGAUUGCGUGAACAUGACCAAAUGAUUACGUAUGGAUGAUACCAAGGCACAAAGAAAACUACCCGAUAUGUGACUUGGAACUAACAGCUAGGGUAUAUGCUCUUAAGGUUAUGGAGCCUGAGUACGGGUUCUCGCAGAAAGAGCUAAACGAGUGGUAGCGAUGGUGGAGAAAGUUCCUUCAGGACUACGACUGCACUACUUCGUAUCACUCGGGGCGUGGCCGUGAGGUGCCGACGCAUGAGCUGGGUGGAUAGUUUUGAUUGUCAGAUGCCAGAGGCUUGUUGGCCUGCUGCCUAUGAGUGUAGUGCCAAAUGGAUCGUUUGUCUUUAUCGCUGACCUAACGGUUUAAUUGGAUUUGGUGAACAAGAUACGAAAAGCAUAUGUGAUUGAUGGGUGUUAUUUUCUAUAAUUGAUGAUUGUAGCCAGCCCAAGGGUUUUGAUUUUUGAGAUAUAAGAUGGCAUUCUUAAAAGUUUCGGGGUAGGAUGUGCGUACCUAGGAUGUUGGAAGAUGUGUGGUCGUCUGUAAAGAGACACAACAAGAAAUUAUGUAAAUGACACGGCAUGCUUGUAAGCAUCGGACGUGUAAGGAAUGCAAACUGAAGUGUUUGUCAAGGACCAAAUGGAUAUUUGAUCUAAAGUGUUUAGGUAAUAAGCUAUGUAUUGUCUUAGUUACCUUAAUGGUCAGAUGAAAAUUUCGAGGCCGAAAUUUCUUUAAGGAGGGGUGAAUGUUAUACCUAAGAAAUUCUAAAGGACUCAAGGGUAAAUUAUCUUAGGGGUAAAAAUGGAAUUUAAGGAUAAACGAAGGGUAUAAUGGUAAUUUAUUACUGUAUAGAUGAUUGAAUCGACUACCGGGGAUGCCUUGGAGCCGAGAUGCCAAUGAAAAAUGAUGUGGCAUUAACACGCACCCCGAGAUAGGAUUUAUGGUGCCGAAAGAAAUCGAAUCGGGAACAAUUUUUUGUACAGCUAAAAUGUAGCUGUCAAUUAGGCUGCAAUACCGAAUUGUUAUAGACGAUUUUCGGGAAGUCAACAGAAGCUUGAGGGGGUUUCGAUUUUUCAUAAGAACAACCCUUCAGUGGUUUCAGUAAGAAACGAAAGGAGUUUACGGCCAAAAUAAAUAUUCGGGCCAAAGUGCAGUUUUUCAAAAUUGCCAAAGGGAGGCUGAAACAGUGUUUUUCCGAAAUCUUCAGGGGCUCAAAUAGAUGUUUUAGGGCUUGAGGGUCGUAAACACAAUUAUGCAAAGUUGAGGGGCUUUGUAAAAAUGGGUUAAAGUGAGAAAGCCAAAAUGUAAGGGGCUAAAAUGCAAUUUCAAGAAAACCCCAAGCAACCAUGGCCGACCAGCCAUCUUGUCGCUGAAUUCGGCCAUGGGAGACACGAGGAAAUGGUUGGGGGGUCCUCGGGGGCAAGGCCAAGACGAGAUUCUUGGCCAACAAGUGGCCAAAAUCGCAUUGAAAUCGAGCCAAAUUUCGGCCGAAAGUGGCCAAAAGUUUGGCCACUUUGAUCACGAAAAAUGGAGCAUUUCGGUGGGUUUUUGGACCGACUUGGGGGAGGUAGAGGCUCUAGGAGACUUGGGUUGGUCGAAAUCGAGCGUUUUAAGGAUCGAAAAUGCCUAUAAAUAGGCAUUCGAAGUGGCCGAAAGUUGGGAAGAUUAAGGCUUCAAAUCGGCCACAAAAUCGAACGAAUUGGCCGUCCAAAAUAAGGGGCUUUUGAAGCCCAUGAGGUGUAGAAGCCAUCUGGAGAAUUUGGGGCAUUUUCAUAUAGGUUUGAGGGGUUUUCGAGGCUUCAUCGAAAAAACUAGGUGGGCGACAAAGCCGAGCCUGUAAACGGUCGAUCUGAGCAUCUCCAGGUCUCCUUUCAAGCCCCAAAGCAUGCCAUUGUGAUCGAUUCAAAGAGGGCUUUCGAGGGGUAUCGAAAUCCAGCAUCGCCGACAUGGCCAGCGCUGGAGAAAAUGAUCAGCACGUGGGCCACACGCGUUGGUCAGCACGCGCAACCCACGCGCCAGCGCGUGAGGGUGCGUGGGGGCCUAGAAAAAUGUGAAAAAAAUUCCUAAAUUUCUAAAAAAAUGUUUUAUCAAGGUCUGUGUAAAAAGAUUUCCCGAUGUCUCGGUUUUAGCACCAAAGAACCUUGUUUUACGUGAAAACGUAACAUCCGGGUAAGUCUAGUAUUUUUUCCUUGAAAUUCAUAGCCUAUAAUGAAUUUUUGUGAAAUUAGAUUUGAGAAAAUAGUUCCGAUGUAUUUAUUAGAAUUUUUGGAAAGGAAAAAUGAAAGAAAAAUGAAAUAAAUAGAAUAUUGAGGAUAUUUAGUAAUUAAAUAUCAUUUUGAUGAUUGAGGUGAUCGAGAUGAUGUGAUUGGUGCAAUUUUUGAGAGUUGACACGAGAAUUGAGGUCAGGCACGCAUAUCGAGGCGAUGCGCACUUUUCGAUGUGAUUUGAUCUUUGGGCAAAUUUAGAACUUGCAGAUAUGGCAAGGAGAUGAUUGAGACGUAACGGCACGUGAUGACGUGGCCGAUGAGUUUGGCGAGUUGUCCUUGUAAUUACUUCCUCAUGAAGAGUCAAGAUAUAUUAUUGUAUUGAUGAUCAUGUAUAAUUGUUAUGGUUUAAUGUAUUUUUGAGAUAUCUUUAGAUUGUAUCAAUUGAGGUACUUAGUUGUUAUCUAUUGAUAAUGAGUCUCCAUGUAAUUAAGUAUUUAAAGAUGUAAUAGUACGAAUUCUUAUUUUAUGUUUAAAGUGGAUUUCGAUUCUGUACCA